This 492-nucleotide ribosomal RNA is filed under the name uncultured bacterium. RNAcentral describes it as "partial 16S ribosomal RNA". It matches the Rfam family "Bacterial small subunit ribosomal RNA", at positions 29 to 507 of the family's 1533-position model. The record is from RNAcentral.
AGUGAACGCUGGCGGUAGGCCUAACACAUGCAAGUCGAACGGCAGCACAGUAAGAGCUUGCUCUUACGGGUGGCGAGUGGCGGACGGGUGAGGAAUACAUCGGAAUCUACUUUUUCGUGGGGGAUAACGUAGGGAAACUUACGCCAAUACCGCAUACGACCUACGGGUGGAAGCAGGGGAUCUUCGGACCUUGCGCGAUUGAAUGAGCCGAUGUCGGAUUAGCUAGUUGGCGGGGUAAAGGCCCACCAAGGCGACGAUCCGUAGCUGGUCUGAGAGGAUGAUCAGCCACACUGGAACUGAGACACGGUCCAGACUCCUACGGGAGGCAGCAGUGGGGAAUAUUGGACAAUGGGCGCAAGCCUGAUCCAGCCAUACCGCGUGGGUGAAGAAGGCCUUCGGGUUGUAAAGCCCUUUUGUUGGGAAAGAAAAGCAGCAGGUUAAUACCCCGCUGUUCUGACGGUACCCAAAGAAUAAGCACCGGCUAACUUCGUG